RNA transcript from Gorilla gorilla gorilla (western lowland gorilla), 485 nucleotides. RefSeq lists it as uncharacterized. NCBI's taxonomy places the organism in Eukaryota, Metazoa, Chordata, Mammalia, Primates, Hominidae. The record is from RefSeq and is a predicted model, not a curated record. The transcript has 3 exons.
GGCUGGCCUUUUCCUCUCACAGGUGCGCUUCCCUGCUUUAUCUGUGUACACUGCUCUUUCUCCUUCAUUCCGCAGCCUCCUUUGCCCUGUGACCUGCAGGUACUGGACGGUCCCUAGAGAGGAUACCGGGACGCUCCUGAAGCCGCGAGAUGAUUGCAAGCAGAUGCAGCCUGACCAUUAGGGCCAAGGCCAAAUUGCAAAAAAAAAAAGAAGUUUGCCUUUAUUCUACUCCAUCCACAUCUAAACUUUGGAGGUCAAGGCUGUGGACAGAUCAGAAGACAUAGUUCCCUCCUUCUGGGGCUCCACAUCAUUCACUGAUCUCUGGGAAGGAGGAUGGGUGGCAGGAUGGGUCUUCCAUGAUACUGAAGGGAGAGCCACAUGUUGAUGCCCAGGACCAGCUGCCUCCUUGGUCUGAAAGGCCUGAUUGAGGCCAGGAUUGGCUAUGAGAGCUGGGAAGUGGGACCACCUUUGAAGCCAUGGGAGAG